GAUGAACGCUGGCGGCGUGCCUAAUACAUGCAAGUCGAGCGAACGGACGAGAAUCUUUCUUCUCUGAUGUUAGCGGCGGACGGGUGAGUAACACGUGGAUAACCUACCUAUAAGACUGGGAUAACUUCGGGAAACCGGAGCUAAUACCGGAUAAUAUUUUGAACCGCAUGGUUCAAAAGUGAAAGACGGUCUUGCUGUCACUUAUAGAUGUAUCCGCGCUGCAUUAGCUAGUUGGUAAGGUAACGGCUUACCAAGGCAACGAUGCAUAGCCGACCUGAGAGGGUGAUCGGCCACACUGGAACUGAGACACGGUCCAGACUCCUACGGGAGGCAGCAGUAGGGAAUCUUCCGCAAUGGGCGAAAGCCUGACGGAGCAACGCCGCGUGAGUGAUGAAGGUCUUCGGAUCGUAAAACUCUGUUAUUAGGGAAGAACAUAUGUGUAAGUAACUGUGCACAUCUUGACGGUACCUAAUCAGAAAGCCACGGCUAACUACGUG
This 497-nucleotide ribosomal RNA is filed under the name uncultured bacterium. RNAcentral's name for it is "partial 16S ribosomal RNA". It matches the Rfam family "Bacterial small subunit ribosomal RNA", at positions 28 to 507 of the family's 1533-position model. The record is from RNAcentral.